This 82-nucleotide transfer RNA is filed under the name Streptomyces formicae. RNAcentral's name for it is "tRNA-Leu". It matches the Rfam family "tRNA". Rfam says of the family: Transfer RNA (tRNA) molecules are approximately 80 nucleotides in length. Their secondary structure includes four short double-helical elements and three loops (D, anti-codon, and T loops). Further hydrogen bonds mediate the characteristic L-shaped molecular structure. tRNAs have two regions of fundamental functional importance: the anti-codon, which is responsible for specific mRNA codon recognition, and the 3' end, to which the tRNAs corresponding amino acid is attached (by aminoacyl-tRNA synthetases). tRNAs cope with the degeneracy of the genetic code in two manners: having more than one tRNA (with a specific anti-codon) for a particular amino acid; and 'wobble' base-pairing, i.e. permitting non-standard base-pairing at the 3rd anti-codon position. Lineage: Bacteria; Bacillati; Actinomycetota; Actinomycetes; Kitasatosporales; Streptomycetaceae. The record is from RNAcentral.
GGGAGUGUGGCGGAAUUGGCAGACGCGCCGGAUUCAAGUCCCGGUGUCUUCGGGCGUGAGGGUUCGAAUCCCUCCACUCCUA